RNAcentral lists this small RNA (570 nucleotides) under Oryza sativa Japonica Group (Japanese rice). RNAcentral describes it as "sRNA Os01g0866550". Lineage: Eukaryota; Viridiplantae; Streptophyta; Magnoliopsida; Poales; Poaceae. The record is from RNAcentral.
CAUCACUUACAUGGAAUACUGGAUGGCAUCCCGAGCAGCGGUCACAGGCAGUACCUCAUUCACGGCGACCUCCUUGUUUUCAUUCUUCUUUCUUCAAAGAAACGCCGGAUUUCCUGGACGCGAUGAGGCGAAAGCUCACUGAGAUCGUUGUAGUGGCGGUACUCAGGAUCGUCCACGCAGACGGCUAUGAUCUUGUCGUCCUUCUCUCCCUGUCUCAUUGAAGAUUUAGCUCCAAUCGGUCAAGCUGGAGUCGCGCAUAUACAGUUGAAGGAUGAUCACCUGCAUGAGCACUAGAACAUCCAUUGGAUCGUUGUCUUCGCAGAGCGUUCGAGGGAUGAAGCCGUAGUUGUGGGGGUAAACCACUGACGAGUACAAGACCCGAUCAACCUACCAUGAUGAACCCCGUUUUCUUGUCGAGCUCGUACUUCACCUUGCUUCCCUUGGAGAUCUCCACAACCUAUCCACGCAAAACCAAGAAGAAACGCAUCGUUAGUCAAGUCGUGCCAGGGGUGCGCGGCGACGGACCUCCGCGACAGCGACGAGAGGAUCCUCUCGUUCAGCCGCGGCGCC